RNAcentral lists this unclassified non-coding RNA (354 nucleotides) under Hevea brasiliensis (rubber tree). Lineage: Eukaryota; Viridiplantae; Streptophyta; Magnoliopsida; Malpighiales; Euphorbiaceae. The record is from RNAcentral.
UGCAUUCUGGGCAACCUUAAAUUUUUUUAUUGCUUCAACAAGUGGUUUGUAAGGGUGAUGAAUAUUCAGGUCAAAAGCUAAGGUUGCGAGCACAACUCUCUCACCAAGUAAAAUUAACUCCUUCUGUUGCUCAUAAACUUCCUUCUGUUUGAUCCUCUGGGCUGCAGCAGGAUUUUUCAUGUGAAUAAUUUCAUAGGAAACAAUGAUUACAUCCUUUAGUGGGCGAGGCGUCUCUUCAACCUUCCCAGCAAGGAACAUACAGACAGUUGCAAUGGUCCUUCUAUCAUUCUUUGCAUGAGACUGUCGAAGAAAGAAUCGAUGACAGAAUAUUAUUGCUGUGGCUAUCGUUACUUG